UACAGGGGGUGCAAACGUUGCUCGGAAUCAUUGGGCGUAAAGCGCACGUAGGCGGUCUGUUAUGUCGGAUGUGAAAGCCCUUGGCUCAACUGAGGAAGUGCAUCCGAAACUGGCAGGCUAGAGUACUAAAGAGGAUCGCGGAAUUCCCGGUGUAGAGGUGAAAUUCGUAGAUAUCGGGAGGAACACCGGUGGCGAAGGCGGCGAUCUGGGUAGAUACUGACACUGAGGCACGAAGGCCAGGGGAGCAAACGGG
RNAcentral lists this ribosomal RNA (253 nucleotides) under uncultured bacterium. RNAcentral describes it as "partial 16S ribosomal RNA". It matches the Rfam family "Bacterial small subunit ribosomal RNA", at positions 524 to 776 of the family's 1533-position model. The record is from RNAcentral.